GUAGGGUAUUGUCGAAACCUGCCCAGCAGAGAGACCCGCGAACACGUUCGACACUCGAGGGGGGUGAGGGGUGUGAACACGCCCCGGACCCUCCUCGCCGGGUGCUUGUGGCCCCGUCCCUCGACCCCGGCACCAAACGAACCCCGGCGCGGAAUGCGUCAAGGAAAGACAACGAGACGAUCCCCGCCAUCGAGGCCCCGGGAACGGUGACUCUGCCUCGGUGGUCGAUUCGGGAUCGGGUUUUAGUAUGAAGAACGACUCUUGUCAACGGAUAUCUCGGCUCUCGCAUCGAUGAAGAACGUAGCGAAAUGCGAUACUUGGUGUGAAAUGCAGAAUCCCCUUACCCAUCGUGUCUUUGAUCUCAAGUUGCGCCGGAACCCAUCGGGACGAGGGCACGACUGCCUAGGAGUCACACGUCGUUGCCCCCCGGAAUCCCCGUCCCGCUCCUAUCCGGUUGAGUGGGGACUGUGUGGGGGGGGCGAAUGAUGUAAGACCGUUUGUGCUUUUCUGGCGAUAUGUCUAAUUUCCUUGGCCCAAGAAGUGUCGUCUUGACAACAUGUUGUGGAUCACUCGGCCUAGAAAACGGUCUAUAAUUAAAGCAUCGGCAUUACGUCAGACCCCAAUCGCCCCUCACGGGUGCUUCCACCUUGACCACGGGUCAGGUGAGU
Molecule: ribosomal RNA, 668 nt
Filed under: Ficus carica (common fig)
Lineage: Eukaryota; Viridiplantae; Streptophyta; Magnoliopsida; Rosales; Moraceae
Description: eukaryotic LSU rRNA
Rfam family: 5.8S ribosomal RNA (bases 257-412)
Source: RNAcentral